Long non-coding RNA from Pantherophis guttatus, 613 nucleotides. RefSeq lists it as uncharacterized. The record is from RefSeq and is a predicted model, not a curated record. NCBI's taxonomy places the organism in Eukaryota, Metazoa, Chordata, Lepidosauria, Squamata, Colubridae.
CCAGAUCUUCGCCUACUUUCUCCAAUUCUCUACUGUCCCCAGAUCCUUACCAUGCCAGCUUCUGGAGUUUUGCAGAUCCAGCUGAGGCUGAAUGAAUGGAAUGGUGGCUACUUGGAAAACCCAAUGAGCAGUCCUGCAACGGAGGCUCAGCGGGCUGGAUCCAACAGAGGGCUUCUGAGGAUCCGCCCUUCAGAAGCUCCAUUUCGGCCGGCAACGUGCAGGACAAACGUUGCAACGCCUCUGCGGUUGUUCAUAAGGGCGAACAACUGCCAUGUGCUGCAAGAUUCAUAGUUUUAGGCCUUGUUCGGAAACACUAAGAGGCACUGAUCGCAUAAUGUUCAAACAUUCGCUUAGGGAACGCUCAUAAUGCAGGGAUUAUGUAUUAUGUGAAUAAUUUUUUAAAGGUGAAUUAUCUUCCCCAAAUUAAUCAAACUGUGGAAAUGAUGUUGAAUUAAUCAAAUAUGUUUAAGUGUGUAAUAGGUGUAUUUUUCUUUCAGAUAAAAAAUUUGCAGUAUUUUAUGUGUUCUUACAUAUAUAUAAGAAAUAUCCUCAAAUCUAUCAACCAAAACUUGCUUUUCCAAUAUCCAUAUUGAAGUAAAAUUCAUUAAAUAAC